This is a long non-coding RNA of Dreissena polymorpha, 1093 nucleotides long. RefSeq lists it as uncharacterized. The transcript is spliced from 3 exons. The record is from RefSeq and is a predicted model, not a curated record. NCBI's taxonomy places the organism in Eukaryota, Metazoa, Mollusca, Bivalvia, Myida, Dreissenidae.
CCAAAUGGAUGUUUUAGGUGGUUUUAGACGGUUCCGUAUGGGUGAGGGACCUGGUAUGGACAAGAAAGGGUAACAUUUCCAACAAAUCUUAAAUGUAAAUAUUAUUAUGUCCAUAGAUUGAAGUUUCAGGUGGAGAGCAAGAUGAAAAAUAUGCAAAAUUACAUGCAUGCAACCCAUUUAUGCCAUUUUUCUCUUUGUUUGUAGGCCUGACCGUUUGUCCUUGAGCCGUAGAUGGUCAACAAUCCGCUAGCUGUCUUGCUCUGACUGGUGCACUGGACAUGAUUUCAAUAGUCAGCCAGACCAUGAUUGAGCUUAAGGAUUGUGCUGCGGAUGCAGCCUGUGCAGUUCCGGGAGAAAGUCACUGUCUCGGGCAAUGCGGUCUGGUAUCAGGUCUGGAUGAUCCUUGCCUGACUGCGGGUUUGUGUACACCUCAAUCCGACUCUGUGUCCUGAACAGAGGCCGCAGUGGUGCAGCGCUUCUGGACGAUCCAUCAACAUCCUGAAAGGUCAACACUACACCAAGCUGGGAAAAUUGAUCCUGAUAGUCAUCCCCAGGUAGUGGAAUGAAUGUUCACUGAACUACAGAGGAAUCACACCCAAAUGACUUUCCUGCCACGACAUUAGUGUGGCCACUCGCGUAGGAAUUCCUUAGCAAACAUGCUCUUUUGCAUGGUGACUGUGGACAUUUUUGCAAAACUUACGCUUUCAACACUGGAUUUUAAAGAGAAUACUUAAUAAAAUGUCGCUAACAGGACUUAUUUAUAUGAAAGAGACUAUCUGGAUGCGCAUUAAGUGUCACUUUGUGUCGUAAGCUGUUGAAGGAGCGAUUUGCGCCUUUUUAAGUGUUAAUUUUGGGUAGCCGGCUUGUAUCAGCUUGAAAGCUGAAAAUUAUGCCUCUCAUCAUAAUAGCAUUAAUUUUUGUAAUUGCAAUGUGUAUGUUUAGAUUGUAAGUGAAGCUUUUAAUAAUAAUUUUCUUAAAAAACAUGAUUUUAUAUGCUGUCAGUGAGUUUUUUAUUGAAAAAAGUGCUUAAAAUUAAAAAAAAGUCUCCUAUUUCAUCAAGAAAAGUACACUGAUUCACAAUCAAUACAUUUAU